RNAcentral lists this long non-coding RNA (3530 nucleotides) under Sus scrofa (pig). RNAcentral describes it as "lncRNA (ENSSSCG00040030470.1)". The record is from RNAcentral. Lineage: Eukaryota; Metazoa; Chordata; Mammalia; Artiodactyla; Suidae.
UGGAUUGGUUCUCGCGGACGCUGACAGACAGGGCCGGGGAGGGCCAAAGCCCUGCCUGAGGGGCGCGCGCGGGGGCGCGAAGGCGCGAGAACGCGAGUGCGCGUGCGCGAGCGGCUGGGCUUUCUCCUGAGCCGUCGGAGGGAGCCGGAGCGCUCCUCUUGAGUUGGUGAUCGACCAUUUGUGGUCCAGCAUGCACAAGUGAGUGGUGAAAGGCUGCAGAGCUGAUGGGUCGUGAGGAUGUAAGUGCGUUUGAAGGCUCUCACACUCUCUACUCCAGGGUAAGUUACAGGCCUUCUCUGCCAUUGUUGCUCUGGUUUUACUCUUAUCUUAAUGGUCUUUUGGAGUCCAUGCAAUUUGUGUGCCCUGUCUGAAAGUUCCCAAAGCCUUUAAUGAUUCAGCUCAUAGAUGCUAUUCAGAUUAGUACUUACAAAGAUAAAACCGUGGUCAGGGUAAUGGGAAGGAAUCAGUAUGUGGAAAUAUCUCAACACAAUAAUUUCACUUAGUGACUUUGUAUGAGAUGUGAUUUACAUGGGGGCUGUGGGGAGGAUGUUGGACCUUCCUGAGAUACACUGCAGAGCAUCCUCUCUCUCAGCACCCUCCCCCUCCAUGGAUCACUUUGCAUAACUUUUCCUGCAUUAAUUACCUUUUUUUCAGGUGUUGGGGGGGGGGAACAGCUUGCCAGAGAGUUGAUGAUUCCCAGUUUCACAGAUGAUAUAGCUAAGUACUAGCAAAGUUUUGCCCAGUGUCACUGGGAGUCACUUGUACCCGCUCCCCCACCUCUCUGCAGUCCCUAGUGCAAUGGUGGUGGGCACUGGGAGUAUUUUAAUGAAAGCUGGCUUUAUUUAUUUAUUUUUAUUUUAAAAAGUUUUUUUAGGGCCGUUCCUGAGGCAUAUGGAAGUUCCCAGGCUAGGAAUGAAUCUGAGCUGCAGCUGCCAGCCUGUACCACAGCCACAGCAACGCUAUAUCCAAGCCGUGGCGGUGUCUUACACCACAGCUCUUGGCAAGACUGGAAGGCUGGACCCUUAACCCACUGAGCAGGGUCAAGUAUUAAACCCAUAUCCUCAUAGGUAAUAGUCGGGUUUGUUAUUGCUAAGUCACAAUGGGAACUCCACCAAAGUUGGCUUUAGAUUUUAAUUUGUGCUAAAGAUUUUGGGGACCAAAAGAACAUCCCAUUCACUGUGAGCUCUCCAGCUUCUAGAGCUUAAACUAAAACCAGAUUCAUUGAAGAGAAAAUUAUAAUUAAUAAAAAUCUAAGCAGAGCUAAGGAUGGUUAGAAAAGAGGGAAAAAGGAAGUUAUUUUUUAAAAAAGUACUCACCUGAAAAACUGGAUAGAUGGUUGUUUUAAGCAUUUCAGUUCAAUAGUGUGGAGCCCUUGCUAGAUAAUGUCCCAUUACCCAGGCUCAGACAGAGGGCACCCAGAAAGGCUGAUGUUCUUCAAUGCCUCAUAUGGAUCAGUAAGGAGCGAGUACAAUUUACUAAAUGAAAUAGACAAUUAAGGGCUAUAAAUCUCUGGAGAUUCCCGUAAGCAUACAUUGUUACUGCAUUGGGGGGAUGCACGUGCUUAGAGAUAAGCAAAGCAGAGGCAGUAGCUGCAAGGCUUGUCACAAAAUGAAGAGUCCAGGGGAACAGCCAGAUGCAGACCCCUGCCUAGUGCCUGGGGGUCACUAAGGAAAGGAUUUGGUCUUUGCUAAGCUUUCUCCUUAAAGGAAGGGAGCUAGAUGUUGCCAGCUUUCCUCAUUUUCUUCUGUGGCUCCCAUUUAUUUUCUAUUCUAAAAGUAACUAAAAAGUAUAACAUGCCAGAAAUAGCACUCAACUGGCAUGUUUCUGUUUAAAUACCAUUCAAUGAUCAAAUUAUAGAGGAACCCAUUCUUUAACUAGUGAUUAGAGGGCAAAGAAAGUAAUGCUAGAGAUGCCAGAGGAUCAGGGAUCCUUAUCCUCAGCACCAUUAACAUGCCAAGCCUGGUGAUUCUUUAUUGUGGGCUGUUCACACAUUGUAGCACAUCUUUGGCCUCUACCAGCUAGAUACUCCCCUUCCCCCACCCCAGAAUCGUGAUAAUCAAAAUGUCUCCAGAUACUGCCACUUGUUCCCUGGCCGGUGGGGGGCGGAAUUCUGGUUGAGAAGCACUGCUGGUGGCAUACAGUGAUUUAAUCUUGCUCUGAAUUUCUCUGGGACUGUUUCAAUCAUUAGCCUCCUUUUGCUACAAUUUCCCUACCUGUAAAAUAGACACAGCAUUUGUAACUCAGUAGCCUAAGGAGGUACAUAGUAUUGUGUGACUAUUUGGGAGCUCAUAAUGCCAAUACCUAUAUCCUAGUCUUGUGAAGACAGAGGCUGAGGAGCAGGGGAGUUGGAAGGGUGUGAGAAAUGCGGAAUGGUAUUGGAUUCUGAUUUUACUAGAAGGCUUCCAAUUCUAGUUCAUUUCAACAAUAUACUCUUGAACGAAGGCUUGUGGGGGAGGAUUAAGAAAGGGGACAAUAAAGGAGGGAAAAAGAGGCUAUUUAGAAGAGCAGUCAAGGAGAUUGCUUUUGAUCUGGAGGUGGGGGGUGAUCUCUUAUCGUUAAAGUGAUUUAUGUGUAAUUAGACCAAAGGACAUAAAGAAGUAACCCCCUUGCUCCAAAGAAAAAUAUUCUCCCAAAUGACUACUGAUCCUAGAACAGAUUUUUCAGGUAAUACAACAAAGACUGGAGAGUGUUGGAGAAAUCUGUUUUUAUUCUAGAACAUUUACAUUUCUGCUGCUUCUCUUCUUUGGCUUAUCAAAAAAGGUCAUCUUCAAUCCAUGCCCUUUGAUACAUACAAUGUUUGAGUAUGACACAUGCUCUUCUGAUACUCUUCUAGAACUCUGUAUUGGAAUGCUGAAAAAGGCCUAUCACCCUGACCCAGGCCUGAGGUGAUCACACUAUUUUACUAAGGCAGGGCAAGUGCAGGGAUUAGAUGUAAAUUGUCUUGGUAGGUUUGAAUUCAGCCUUGCUGUGUUUCUGGUCCCUGUAAUUAUUAGACAUACUCACAAAAUUUACAACAAUGCUACCUUGUUGACGCAGACUCAGUGGGUCCAACAUCAGAGGAAAUUCUGUUGGACAGCACUGCUUUAGUCUGUCAGGACCCUGUUUGUUAGAAACCCACCCUUGGAGUGCCAGCAUGUGCUUGUUAUGAAAAGACCUCACCUCAUUUAAAGCAGGAUUGUGUUUUGGACUUCUCCAUCCUAGGGGGCUUUUCAGUCUGUGAGUGGAUCUUGCUGAACUUUUUACCUUGCUGCGGCAUCUGUCUGUUAAAGAAAUUGCCAUGGGCGUGUGUUUCUGACAUAACUGAGUUCACUGUCUCUAAAAUAUUUGCUCUUUAAUCCAAGGCUGCUGAACCGUCUCUUUCCAUUUGGUCUCUCCGUGCCCUAACCCUCAGUGGCAAAGCUUGUUUGUGCAGGAUGUCUCUUUUGAUACUGCCUAGAGCUUCAGCGUCUGGGAGAGGUGGUGAGAGAGUUUUCACCUCCUCUUCUUUCAAGCCCCAGUGUAGCUAAAAAAAAAAAAAAAAAAAAAAAAAA